UAGGGAAUCUUCCGCAAUGGGCGAAAGCCUGACGGAGCUACGCCGCGUGAGUGAUGAAGGUCUUCGGAUCGUAAAACUCUGUUAUUAGGGAAGAACAAAUGUGUAAGUAACUAUGCACGUCUUGACGGUACCUAAUCAGAAAGCCACGGCUAACUACGUGCCAGCAGCCGCGGUAAUACGUAGGUGGCAAGCGUUAUCCGGAAUUAUUGGGCGUAAAGCGCGCGUAGGCGGUUUUUUAAGUCUGAUGUGAAAGCCCACGGCUCAACCGUGGAGGGUCAUUGGAAACUGGAAAACUUGAGUGCAGAAGAGGAAAGUGGAAUUCCAUGUGUAGCGGUGAAAUGCGCAGAGAUAUGGAGGAACACCAGUGGCGAAGGCGACUUUCUGGUCUGUAACUGACGCUGAUGUGCGAAAGCGUGGGGAUCAAACAGG
RNAcentral lists this ribosomal RNA (429 nucleotides) under Actinomycetes bacterium. RNAcentral's name for it is "Actinobacteria bacterium partial 16S ribosomal RNA". It matches the Rfam family "Bacterial small subunit ribosomal RNA", at positions 355 to 776 of the family's 1533-position model. The record is from RNAcentral. Lineage: Bacteria; Bacillati; Actinomycetota; Actinomycetes.